UACGAAGGGGGCUAGCGUUGUUCGGAAUCACUGGGCGUAAAGCGCACGUAGGCGGAUCUUUAAGUCAGGGGUGAAAUCCUGGAGCUCAACUCCAGAACUGCCUUUGAUACUGAGGAUCUUGAGUUCGGGAGAGGUGAGUGGAACUGCGAGUGUAGAGGUGAAAUUCGUAGAUAUUCGCAAGAACACCAGUGGCGAAGGCGGCUCACUGGCCCGAUACUGACGCUGAGGCACGAAAGCGUGGGGAGCAAACAGG
This 253-nucleotide ribosomal RNA is filed under the name uncultured bacterium. RNAcentral's name for it is "partial 16S ribosomal RNA". It matches the Rfam family "Bacterial small subunit ribosomal RNA", at positions 524 to 776 of the family's 1533-position model. The record is from RNAcentral.